Molecule: ribosomal RNA, 513 nt
Filed under: uncultured bacterium
Lineage: Bacteria
Description: bacterial SSU rRNA
Rfam family: Bacterial small subunit ribosomal RNA
Source: RNAcentral
GACGAACGCUGGCGGCGUGCCUAAUACAUGCAAGUCGAGCGGACCAAAGGGAGCUUGCUCCUGGAGGUUAGCGGCGAACGGGUGAGUAACACGUGGGCAACCUGCCUGUAAGACUGGGAUAACAUCGAGAAAUCGGUGCUAAUACCGGAUAAUAAAAGAACUGCAUGGUUCUUUUUGAAAGAUGGUUUCGGCUAUCACUUACAGAUGGGCCCGCGGCGCAUUAGCUAGUUGGUGAGGUAACGGCUCACCAAGGCGACGAUGCGUAGCCGACCUGAGAGGGUGAUCGGCCACACUGGGACUGAGACACGGCCCAGACUCCUACGGGAGGCAGCAGUAGGGAAUCUUCCGCAAUGGACGAAAGUCUGACGGAGCAACGCCGCGUGAGUGAUGAAGGUUUUCGGAUCGUAAAACUCUGUUGUUAGGGAAGAACAAGUGCCGUUCGAAAGGGCGGCACCUUGACGGUACCUAACGAGAAAGCCACGGCUAACUACGUGCCAGCAGCCGCGGUAAAGU